RNAcentral lists this ribosomal RNA (1703 nucleotides) under Salmonella enterica subsp. enterica serovar Newport. RNAcentral describes it as "partial 23S ribosomal RNA". It matches the Rfam family "Bacterial large subunit ribosomal RNA", at positions 1200 to 2803 of the family's 2925-position model. Lineage: Bacteria; Pseudomonadati; Pseudomonadota; Gammaproteobacteria; Enterobacterales; Enterobacteriaceae. The record is from RNAcentral.
CUGCGGCAGCGAACGUAUCACUUAAAGCGAUUCAGCGGGUUACGAUUGACGGAGCGAAGCGACGUCAAAGCGUAUACAAAGUCGAGUCGGUUUAAGGAUACGUUUGUUGGGUAGGGGAGCGUUCUGUAAGCCUGUGAAGGUGUGUCGUGAGGCAUGCUGGAGGUAUCAGAAGUGCGAAUGCUGACAUAAGUAACGAUAAAGCGGGUGAAAAGCCCGCUCGCCGGAAGACCAAGGGUUCCUGUCCAACGUUAAUCGGGGCAGGGUGAGUCGACCCCUAAGGCGAGGCCGAAAGGCGUAGUCGAUGGGAAACGGGUUAAUAUUCCCGUACUUGGUGUUACUGCGAAGGGGGGACGGAGAAGGCUAUGUUGGCCGGGCGACGGUUGUCCCGGUUUAAGCGUGUAGGUGUGUGUUCCAGGUAAAUCCGGUUCACUUUAACACUGAGGCGUGACGACGAGGCACUACGGUGCUGAAGCAACAAAUGCCCUGCUUCCAGGAAAAGCCUCUAAGCAUCAGGUAACAUCAAAUCGUACCCCAAACCGACACAGGUGGUCAGGUAGAGAAUACCAAGGCGCUUGAGAGAACUCGGGUGAAGGAACUAGGCAAAAUGGUGCCGUAACUUCGGGAGAAGGCACGCUGACACGUAGGUGAAGUGAUUUACUCAUGGAGCUGAAGUCAGUCGAAGAUACCAGCUGGCUGCAACUGUUUAUUAAAAACACAGCACUGUGCAAACACGAAAGUGGACGUAUACGGUGUGACGCCUGCCCGGUGCCGGAAGGUUAAUUGAUGGGGUCAGCGCAAGCGAAGCUCCUGAUCGAAGCCCCGGUAAACGGCGGCCGUAACUAUAACGGUCCUAAGGUAGCGAAAUUCCUUGUCGGGUAAGUUCCGACCUGCACGAAUGGCGUAAUGAUGGCCAGGCUGUCUCCACCCGAGACUCAGUGAAAUUGAACUCGCUGUGAAGAUGCAGUGUACCCGCGGCAAGACGGAAAGACCCCGUGAACCUUUACUAUAGCUUGACACUGAACAUUGAGCCUUGAUGUGUAGGAUAGGUGGGAGGCUUUGAAGUGUGGACGCCAGUCUGCAUGGAGCCGACCUUGAAAUACCACCCUUUAAUGUUUGAUGUUCUAACGUGGACCCGUGAUCCGGGUUGCGGACAGUGUCUGGUGGGUAGUUUGACUGGGGCGGUCUCCUCCUAAAGAGUAACGGAGGAGCACGAAGGUUGGCUAAUCCUGGUCGGACAUCAGGAGGUUAGUGCAAUGGCAUAAGCCAGCUUGACUGCGAGCGUGACGGCGCGAGCAGGUGCGAAAGCAGGUCAUAGUGAUCCGGUGGUUCUGAAUGGAAGGGCCAUCGCUCAACGGAUAAAAGGUACUCCGGGGAUAACAGGCUGAUACCGCCCAAGAGUUCAUAUCGACGGCGGUGUUUGGCACCUCGAUGUCGGCUCAUCACAUCCUGGGGCUGAAGUAGGUCCCAAGGGUAUGGCUGUUCGCCAUUUAAAGUGGUACGCGAGCUGGGUUUAGAACGUCGUGAGACAGUUCGGUCCCUAUCUGCCGUGGGCGCUGGAGAACUGAGGGGGGCUGCUCCUAGUACGAGAGGACCGGAGUGGACGCAUCACUGGUGUUCGGGUUGUCAUGCCAAUGGCACUGCCCGGUAGCUAAAUGCGGAAGAGAUAAGUGCUGAAAGCAUCUAAGCACGAAACUUGCCCCGAG